Molecule: long non-coding RNA, 5022 nt
Organism: Bos taurus (domestic cattle)
Lineage: Eukaryota; Metazoa; Chordata; Mammalia; Artiodactyla; Bovidae
Source: Ensembl
UGGUGGAAGAACUGAUACUAAAGCUGAAACUCCAGUACUUUGGCCACCUCAUGUGAAGAGUUGACUCAUUGGAAAAGACCCUGAUGCUGGGAGGGAUUGGGGGCAGGCGGAGAAGGGGACGACGGAGGAUGAGAUGGCUGGAUGGCAUCACCAACUCGAUGGACAGACGUAAAUGGGUAAAUAGACGGGGGAACUUACACAUCUGACACAAGGCCCUGGAGUGACACCCUACCGUGUGCAACAGACAGAGGGCCUGAGGAAAUUUGCAUACUUCAUUAUGCGAAUUUGAGCUGAAGCCCAGCUCCUCUCACGUUGGCAGUAGAGGAACAUGUCCUGCUUGCAAGAUCAGAGUCCUAAGGAGUGGCAGGUCGUGGGGAGACCUGUUUAUGGGAAGCCCAGAAACGGACAUACAUGGAAACUCUAAAGCCGGGUCACCCAAUUGCAAAGGAGGAGAGAUGGCCCAGUUCAGCCACAAGGACAAGGCUCAGAGCGCACACGUGGAGCUGAGCAGUGUUCCUUCCUGAAUGGCAGAGCUACGGUCACAUAUAAGAGUAUAAAUGACUUCAGGCUGCUGACAUGGCUGGGGGUAUCCAAGGCAGAGCGCCUGAUGCUCUCGGCUCCUCCACUCAGGUGGCUGAGACCGCUGAGUUUUGUGUCUGCCCAUGUGAGGUACAAGGGAGAGGUGAGUCCAUCCACUUAUCAUCACCUUUUGCAUGGCUUAUUUGCUGUUUCAAGAGCACGGCCAAGUAGGUGCCCUGAAUGCACACAGGCCUGUCCCUUGCGCUUGAUUCAUGAUGUGGCCUCCGGCAGGAUGCAGGUGUGGGGAGUUGGCAGUGGCAAGUCAGAGGUGUGGGAAACUCUCUCCAUAGAGAUAAACAUCUCUUGGCCCACUAGCGUAAUUACAGAGAUGCUUUGUGUGGAAGAAUCUGAGGAAGAAAUAAUAGCAAUAACAUUUUGGAAGCAGGAAAGCAAACCAAGGUAGAAUAACUGGCUGAACAGCCUUUCGAACCCAAUCCCAAGUAUGACUUGGAAACAGAUAGAGCAAAUGUUUCACUCCACAGACUCCUCAGAGGGAGGAAACUGGAGCUGCAGGAACUUCUGGGUCCAGCAAGCAGGAGUUGUGUGGUUAAUUGGGUGAGGACUACGAGAAGCACUGUCUGAGGAGUAGUCAGAAUAUGUAAGUGGGCUUCCCAGGUGGCUCAGUGGUAAAGAACCCGCCUGCCAAUGCAGGAGACACAGUUUUGAUCUUGGAUCGGGACGAUCCCCUGGAGAAGGAAAUGGCAACCCACUCCAGAAUUCUUGCCUGGGAAAUCCCACAGAGGAGCCUGGCCGGCUACAGUCCAUGGGGUCGCGAAGAGUAGGUCAUAACCUAGUGACUAGAACAACAAGAACAAACAACAACAAUAAAUGUAAAUAUAUGUUUAUAGAUGCAAACCAAGCUAGGAUUAUGUAAAUUACCUUGCGCUCACCAAAAGCAAUGUUUGCGCUUGGUAAACAAUCUAUGAGUAUCUACUGUUAAUGUCUUUUCUAGGUCCCUUAAGACCCUUUUGAUUCCACUAGGCACAUAUCCCUCUCUUGCAGUAGAAAUCUGGAGUUUCUUUCACUCUCUGCAGAGGGUAACAGAGUGGGUCUCUGGAUUGAGGGCCAAAAGACUGAAUAUGUGGAUUGUAGAACAGAAUGAUGGAGGACUCAUGCCAUUAAUUUAUAAAUUCAAGGACUUUCAACUCUUCUUGCCACUCAAGGUUCAGAACAUGCUGGCAGCCUGACCCACCUUUCAGGAAGGAACCUGGAAGAUUUUCCUCUAGGAGUCUGGGCAGCUCUGGGCUAUGUGGGAAACUGCCCACCCAGAUCUCCUACAAUAUGGUCAGGCUCCAUCCACACAGGCUGGACUGAUGAGGAAGUGCCAUCUGAGAUAGCUCUUGGGAGGUUUUAAGAGGGAAGUUAAAGAGCUGGGGUAGAAGGAAUAGUAUAACAAAUAUGCAGACACAGGAAAGGUGAGGCCUUGGAGAAAGGGGGUGAAUGGAACUGGGCCAGGGAGCAGGGCAGGAGUAGGGAGAAAUGGGAGAUGAGGUUGGAAAGGGUGUCUGGGAUCAACAGGUGUCUGACAAAGGGAUGAGUGAGCAGGAGCAACCGGGUUCAUCUGCAAGUCUGUGCUGGUUGUUGCCCUGGGGACCAGAUGGAAGAAGGCCCUUAAGACCAAGCUUAGGAGAUGAAAGCUAUUUUAGUAGAUAAUAAGGAGCCUGAUGAAAAGUUUGCAAACAGGAAAGUGACGUACAGAAUUGAGUUAGACUUGAAAGACGAAUUAAUUUAUGAGCCAGAUGCUGAGGAAGGCGAUGUGGGGCUACACCAAGGUUAACUGGGAAACUCUUGGAUGAAUCAGUGUCCAUAUUUAGAGGAUGAAGAAGAGAUCAGAGUACAAAACAGAAAUUGCUCAAAAAGGAAUUGAGCCCCUUGGACAGGAAACAAGAACUCUGAUGGAAUGCAGGAGAAAGGGUUGAGCAAGAGAGAGAGAAAGCAGCUGCCAGCACAUCGGAUGAAAACAAACACCUUGAACUCGACAGGAGACUUCAAAUGUUACUAAACUUUUUUGGCAGUUGUCUCUCCUUUAACCAGCCUAACAAGGAAUGCCAGGAAAGACUCAUUUCCCUUUUCCACUGAUGUGGUCUCUUUUCAGCUUUCCAACUGAAAACAGCCUCGUGGAAGCAUUAACUUGUUUGAAGCAGCUUACAAAUAGAGGAAGUUUGGGAAGUUGACUUUCCCAGCAAGUGUUUUGUCCUUGGAGAUUCUUUUCCCCUCAGCGUUCUGCAUGGGACUUCCCUGACAACGUAGGUGAUUACUAGGUCCAUCCUUCUGUGACGAGAGGUGGCAGUGCCAGCAAAGUAGCCCAUGAAGGAAACAGGAUCCUCCCCUCCAACUCAGAAGUUGUAUUUCCCCACCUGCCUGCAAACUUGAAAUUGAUCACCUUCUUUUUUCUCUGAAUAAAGGCAUGGAGGUCUUGGUUACAAGGGCAAAUAGUGGUUCGAAAAGGGAAACAAAAUGUUCAUUACUAACCAUUUACACCUUGGUUCAUGUAGCAGGGCCCAAAGGAAGGAAGGCGUCCCAGGAUAAAUAAUAAUUCAUACUGAUCACACUUGAGAGUAAAUUAAAGACAUGCACAGUCAUCAUCUUGAUCCUCAGAGUAACACUGAGGGCCUUGUAGGAGUAUCAUCUCCCUCUGACAGCUGAGGGAGUCAAGACUCGGAGAAGUUCAGUGACUUGCCCAAGAACACACAGGGAGCUGGCACUGGCAGAGCAGGUGUGGAGGUGGACAGUCUGGGGCACCCUUCCAGGGUUCUGUGAGGUGGCAGGACAUCCAGAGGACCUUGGGCACAACACCACCUUCUAGGGUUGAAGCCAUAUUGUUUGUUUAGUCCCUAAUUCAUGUCUGACUCUUUGUGACUCCAUGGACUGCAGCCCUCCAGUCUGCUCUGUCCAUGAGAUUUCCCAGGCAACAAUACUGGAGUGGAUUGCCAUUUCCUUCUCCAGGGGAUCGUCCUGAUCCAGGGAUUGAACCUGUGUCUCCUGCAUUAGCAGGUGGGUUCUUUACCACUGAGCCACCAGGGAAGCCCUGAAGCCACAUUAGGCUCCCAUAAAUUUCACUCACUGCCAAGGCCUCUUCCUUCUGAGUGAGAUAGAAAAAAGGGAAGAAGAGAAUCAUGGGCAGUAAAACCCAGACCACCCAUCAAUCCUGAAACCCACAUCUCCAUUCCAGUUCUUUGUUCCUCUGUGGGAGAAGGUUCUGGAGAGCCAGCCCUACAGUCACUACCCGCUCCAGAUUUCCCUCCAAGAGCCAAGAUUUCUGCCUGAAAACGGCCCUUUCUGGGAAUUCUGUCCUCCUGACAUGUGAUCACUUUAGUUCACAGUCCAAGGUCCCUGAGGUGCUCAGAGGUGGGAGUUGACUGCCAGUAGAACAGCCCACCAAGAUGGAUAAACACGGAGGUGGCUCCAGACAUUCUCCAGAAAGGACUUUGCCUCCCAAGCUCAGGUCCUGGAUGGACAUUCAUAGGAACUACAUCUGAAGGAGGCAAAAACACGGCCAUGACUCUGGAUUCAAAUAAUCCCAAAUAAGCUGCCGCUAUAACAAACCUUCCCAGGCUUCCCAAGUGGCACUAGUGGUAAAGAACCCGCCUGCCAAUGCAGGAGAUGUAAAAGACAUGCGUUUGAUCCCUGGGUCUAGAAGAUCUCUUGGAGGAAGGCAUGGCAACCCAAUCCAGUAUUCUUGCCUGGAGAAUUCCAUGGACAGAGGAGACUGGUGGGCUAUAGUCCGUAGUGUCACAAAGAGUUGGACGUGAUUGAAAGGACUUAGGCCACACACACAUGACAAACCUAGACAGCAUAGUGAAAAGCAGAGACAACACUUUGCCGACAAAGGUCCGUCUAGUCAAAGCUAUGGUUUUUCCAGUAGUCACGUAGGGAUGUGAGAACAGGACCACAAAGAGGGCUGAGUGCCAAAGAAUUGAUAGUUUUGAACAGUGAUGCUGGAGAAGACUCUUGAGAGUCCCUUGGACUUCAAGGAGAUCAAACCAGUCAAUCCUAAAGGAAAUCAACCCUGAAUAUUCUUUGGAAGGACUGUUGUUGAAGCUGAAGCUCCAAUACUUUGGCUACUUGAUUCAAAGAACCAAUUCAUUGGGAAAGACCCUGGUGCUGGGAACGACUGAGGGCAAGAGGAGAAGGGGGCGACAGAGUAUGAGAUGAUUAGAUGGCAUCAUUGACUCAGUGGACAUCAGUUUGAGCAAACUCUGGAGAUAAUGAAGGACAGGGAAGCCUGGUGUGCUGCAGUCCAUAGAGUCGCAAAGAGUCAGUCACGAUUUAACAACUGAACAACAGCAAUGAAGCCAGUGCUACCCUUCCUCAGGAUCCCCAUGGCAGAUCCUUUCAGAGAGGAAAAACCCAGCAAGAACAGCAGAUAACUUGCAGAAGCUUUGACCCAAUCCAAUGUGGAGCUCAGCAAGGCUGCACUCAUUGUCAAGGCCACAGGAAGGA